Lagenorhynchus albirostris (white-beaked dolphin) is the source of this 290-nucleotide long non-coding RNA. RefSeq lists it as uncharacterized. The transcript is spliced from 3 exons. The record is from RefSeq and is a predicted model, not a curated record. Lineage: Eukaryota; Metazoa; Chordata; Mammalia; Artiodactyla; Delphinidae.
AGGUCUAGCCCUGGAAAUCCUGGUAAAGCUACAAGCAGACUAAAAAGUAUCAUUCACAGCACAAGUGACGUGUAAAACUUGGAAUUGAAAAUAUAUUGGAAUGUGUUUAGGAGAACAGUCAUUUGAUUUAAACAUGAUCUAAACACAUGCUUCACACAGUCAAGUUUAGCUCGUGACAAGAGAAGAAUGGAGAUUGGAUUCUUUGCUGGGCCUAGUAACCUGAGAUUGUCUGACGGGGACUUCCAUUAGCCCCGUGUUCACUAAAGCUUGCCACACCACCAGCAAUGGUU